UUAGAGUUUGAUCCUGGCUCAGGACGAACGCUGGCGGCGUGCUUAACACAUGCAAGUCGAACGAUGAACCACUUCGGUGGGGAUUAGUGGCGAACGGGUGAGUAACACGUGGGCAAUCUGCCCUGCACUCUGGGACAAGCCCUGGAAACGGGGUCUAAUACCGGAUACGACGCUCGCAGGCAUCUGUGAGGGUUAAAAGCUCCGGCGGUGCAGGAUGAGCCCGCGGCCUAUCAGCUUGUUGGUGAGGUAGUGGCUCACCAAGGCGACGACGGGUAGCCGGCCUGAGAGGGCGACCGGCCACACUGGGACUGAGACACGGCCCAGACUCCUACGGGAGGCAGCAGUGGGGAAUAUUGCACAAUGGGCGCAAGCCUGAUGCAGCGACGCCGCGUGAGGGAUGACGGCCUUCGGGUUGUAAACCUCUUUCAGCAGGGAAGAAGCGCAAGUGACGGUACCUGCAGAAGAAGCGCCGGCUAACUACGUGCCAGCAGCCGCGGUAAUACGUAGGGCGCAAGCGUUGUCCGGAAUUAUUGGGCGUAAAGAGCUCGUAGGCGGUCUGUCGCGUCGGAUGUGAAAGCCCGGGGCUUAACCCCGGGUCUGCAUUCGAUACGGGCAGACUAGAGUGUGGUAGGGGAGAUCGGAAUUCCUGGUGUAGCGGUGAAAUGCGCAGAUAUCAGGAGGAACACCGGUGGCGAAGGCGGAUCUCUGGGCCAUUACUGACGCUGAGGAGCGAAAGCGUGGGGAGCGAACAGGAUUAGAUACCCUGGUAGUCCACGCCGUAAACGGUGGGAACUAGGUGUUGGCGACAUUCCACGUCGUCGGUGCCGCAGCUAACGCAUAAGUCCCC
Molecule: ribosomal RNA, 847 nt
Filed under: Streptomyces dioscori
Lineage: Bacteria; Bacillati; Actinomycetota; Actinomycetes; Kitasatosporales; Streptomycetaceae
Description: bacterial SSU rRNA
Rfam family: Bacterial small subunit ribosomal RNA
Source: RNAcentral